AUAUUGGACAAUGGGGGCAACUCUGAUCAAGCCAUGCCGUGUGUGUGAAGAAGGACAAAGGAUUGUAAAGCUCUUUAAGUUGGGAGGAAAGGCUUUAGGUUAAUACCGUGAAGUGUUGACGUUACCAACAGAAUAUGCACUGGCUAAAUCUGUGUCAGCAGCCGCAGUAAUACAGAGGGUGCAAGCGUUAAUCGGAAAUAUUGGGGGUAAAGCGGGCGUAGGUAGUUCAGUAAGAUGGGUUUGAAAUCCCCCGGCUUAACCUGGGAACUGCUUUCAUAACUGCUGAGCUAGAGUACAGUAGAGGGUAGUGGAAUUUCCUGUGUAGCGGUGAAAUGCGUAGGUAUAAGAAGGAACACCAGUGGCGAAGGCGACUACCUGGACUGAUACUGACACUGAGGUGCGAAAGCGUGGGGAGCAAAC
RNAcentral lists this ribosomal RNA (420 nucleotides) under uncultured bacterium. RNAcentral describes it as "partial 16S ribosomal RNA". It matches the Rfam family "Bacterial small subunit ribosomal RNA", at positions 361 to 773 of the family's 1533-position model. The record is from RNAcentral.